Molecule: ribosomal RNA, 897 nt
Organism: Planktothrix tepida PCC 9214
Lineage: Bacteria; Bacillati; Cyanobacteriota; Cyanophyceae; Oscillatoriales; Microcoleaceae
Rfam family: Bacterial small subunit ribosomal RNA
Source: Rfam
GAGCUAGAGUGUAGUAGGGGCAGAGGGAAUUCCUGGUGUAGCGGUGAAAUGCGUAGAGAUCAGGAAGAACACCGGUGGCGAAAGCGCUCUGCUGGGCUACAACUGACACUGAGGGACGAAAGCUAGGGGAGCGAAUGGGAUUAGAUACCCCAGUAGUCCUAGCGGUAAACGAUGGAAACUAGGUGUGGCCUGUAUCGACCCGGGCCGUGCCGGAGCAAACGCGUUAAGUUUCCCGCCUGGGGAGUACGCACGCAAGUGUGAAACUCAAAGGAAUUGACGGGGGCCCGCACAAGCGGUGGAGUAUGUGGUUUAAUUCGAUGCAACGCGAAGAACCUUACCAGGACUUGACAUCUCUGGAAUCUCUCUGAAAGGAGAGAGUGCCUUAGGGAACCAGAAGACAGGUGCUGCAUGGCUGUCGUCAGCUCGUGUCGUGAGAUGUUGGGUUAAGUCCCGCAACGAGCGCAACCCUCGUCGUUAGUUGCCAUCAUUAAGUUGGGAACUCUAGCGAGACUGCCGGUGACAAACCGGAGGAAGGUGAGGAUGACGUCAAGUCAGCAUGGCCCUUACGUCCUGGGCGACACACGUACUACAAUGCUAAGGACAGAGAGCAGCCAACCCGCGAGGGAGAGCGAAUCUCAGAAACCUUGGCACAGUUCAGAUUGCAGGCUGCAACUCGCCUGCAUGAAGGAGGAAUCGCUAGUAAUCGCAGGUCAGCAUACUGCGGUGAAUCCGUUCCCGGGCCUUGUACACACCGCCCGUCACACCAUGGAAGUUCGCCACGCCCGAAGUCAUUACUCUAACCCGCAAGGGGGGAGGGUGCCGAAGGCAGGGCUGAUGACUGGGGUGAAGUCGUAACAAGGUAGCCGUACCGGAAGGUGUGGCUGGAUCACCUCCUUU